GGCCUUUUCAUCGUUCUUGGACCCCAAUCUACCCAAGGCUCAUGGAGUACGAGUGACUCUUGAGGCUCGGAACUUGUGGUCGUAUCAUCCUAUCCUUCUU
This is a long non-coding RNA of Salvia splendens (bonfire salvia), 100 nucleotides long. RefSeq lists it as uncharacterized. The record is from RefSeq and is a predicted model, not a curated record. NCBI's taxonomy places the organism in Eukaryota, Viridiplantae, Streptophyta, Magnoliopsida, Lamiales, Lamiaceae. The transcript is spliced from 3 exons.